AUUGAACGCUGGCGGCAGGCUUAACACAUGCAAGUCGAGCGGAGUGAUGGUGCUUGCACUAUCACUUAGCGGCGGACGGGUGAGUAAUGCUUAGGAAUCUGCCUAUUAGUGGGGGACAACAUCUCGAAAGGGAUGCUAAUACCGCAUACGUCCUACGGGAGAAAGCAGGGGAUCACUUGUGACCUUGCGCUAAUGGAUGAGCCUAAGUCGGAUUAGCUAGUUGGUGGGGUAAAGGCCUACCAAGGCGACGAUCUGUAGCGGGUCUGAGAGGAUGACCGGCCACACUGGGACUGGGACACGGCCCAGACUCCUACGGGAGGCAGAAGGGGGGAAUAUUGGACAAUGGGGGGAACCCUGAUCCAGCCAUGCCGCGUGUGUGAAGAAGGCCUUAUGGUUGUAAAGCACUUUAAGCGAGGAGGAGGCUCUUUUGGUUAAUACCCAAGAUGAGUGGACGUUACUCGCAGAAUAAGCACCGGCUAACUCUGUGCCCGCAGCCGCCGUAA
This 503-nucleotide ribosomal RNA is filed under the name uncultured bacterium. Its description in RNAcentral is "partial 16S ribosomal RNA". It matches the Rfam family "Bacterial small subunit ribosomal RNA", at positions 30 to 523 of the family's 1533-position model. The record is from RNAcentral.